UACGUGAGUGGCAAGCGUUGUCCGGAUUUACUGGGCGUAAAGGGAGCGUAGGUGGAUAUUUAAGUGGGAUGUGAAAUACUCGGGCUUAACCUGGGUGCUGUCAUUCCAAACUGGAUAUCUAGAGUGCAGGAGAGGAAAGUAGAAUUCCUAGUGUAAGCGGUGAAAUGCGUAGAGAUUAGGAAGAAUACCAGUGGCGAAGGCGACUUUCUGGACUGUAACUGACACUGAGGCUCGAAAGCGUGGGGAGCAAACAGG
RNAcentral lists this ribosomal RNA (255 nucleotides) under uncultured bacterium. RNAcentral's name for it is "partial 16S ribosomal RNA". It matches the Rfam family "Bacterial small subunit ribosomal RNA", at positions 524 to 776 of the family's 1533-position model. The record is from RNAcentral.